This 66-nucleotide transfer RNA is filed under the name Orthetrum albistylum. RNAcentral's name for it is "tRNA-Asn". Lineage: Eukaryota; Metazoa; Arthropoda; Insecta; Odonata; Libellulidae. The record is from RNAcentral.
UUAGUUGAAGCCAAAAUAGAGGCAUAUCACUGUUAAUGAUAAAAAUGAAAGUUAUUUCCAGCUAAG